CCUGACUGCUAUCGGAUUGAUACUAAGCCAUGCGAGUCAUUGUAGUAAUACAAGGCAGACGGCUCAGUAACGCGUAGUCAACCUAACCUAUGGACGGGAAUAACCUCGGGAAACUGAGUAUAAUGCCCGAUAGAACAUUAUGCCUGGAAUGGUUUAUGUUCCAAAUGAUUUAUCGCCGUAGGAUGGGACUGCGGCCUAUCAGUUUGUUGGUGAGGUAAUGGCCCACCAAGACUAUUACAGGUACGGGCUCUGAGAGGAGUGGCCCGGAGAUGGGUACUGAGACACGGACCCAGGCCCUAUGGGGCGCAGCAGGCGAGAAAACUUUGCAAUGUGCGAAAGCACGACAAGGUUAAUCCGAGUGGUUUCUGCUAAAGGAACCUUUUGUCAGUCCUAGAAACACUGGCGAAUAAGGGGUGGGCAAGUUCUGGUGUCAGCCGCCGCGGUAAAACCAGCACCUCAAGUGGUCAGGAUGAUUAUUGGGCCUAAAGCAUCCGUAGCCUGCUUUGUUAGUUUUCGGUUAAAUCCAUAUGCUCAACGUAUGGGCUGCCGGGAAUACUGCAAAGCUAGGGAGUGGGAGAGGUAGACGGUACUCGGUAGGAAGGGGUAAAAUCCUUUGAUCUAUUGAUGACCACCUGUGGCGAAGGCGGUCUACCAGAACACGUCCGACGGUGAGGGAUGAAAGCUGGGGGAGCAAACCGGAUUAGGUACCCGGGUAGUCCCAGCUGUAAACUAUGCAAACUCGGUGAUGCAUUGGCUUGAUGCCAAUGCAGUGCCGCAGGGAAGCCGUUAAGUUUGCCGCCUGGGAAGUACGUACGCAAGUAUGAAACUUAAAGGAAUUGGCGGGGGAGCACCACAAGGGGUGAAGCCUGCGGUUC
RNAcentral lists this ribosomal RNA (875 nucleotides) under uncultured marine group I thaumarchaeote. Its description in RNAcentral is "bacterial SSU rRNA". It matches the Rfam family "Archaeal small subunit ribosomal RNA", at positions 21 to 903 of the family's 1478-position model. The record is from RNAcentral. Lineage: Archaea; Thermoproteati; Nitrososphaerota.